RNAcentral lists this ribosomal RNA (459 nucleotides) under Rhodococcus sp. RHF73. RNAcentral describes it as "bacterial SSU rRNA". It matches the Rfam family "Bacterial small subunit ribosomal RNA", at positions 8 to 484 of the family's 1533-position model. The record is from RNAcentral. Lineage: Bacteria; Bacillati; Actinomycetota; Actinomycetes; Mycobacteriales; Nocardiaceae.
AGAGUUUGAUCCUGGCUCAGGACGAACGCUGGCGGCGUGCUUAACACAUGCAAGUCGAGCGGUAAGGCCCUUCGGGGUACACGAGCGGCGAACGGGUGAGUAACACGUGGGUGAUCUGCCCUGCACUUCGGGAUAAGCCCGGGAAACUGGGUCUAAUACCGGAUACGACCUUCGGCUGCAUGGCUGGGGGUGGAAAGGUUUACUGGUGCAGGAUGGGCCCGCGGCCUAUCAGCUUGUUGGUGGGGUAAUGGCCUACCAAGGCGACGACGGGUAGCCGACCUGAGAGGGUGACCGGCCACACUGGGACUGAGACACGGCCCAGACUCCUACGGGAGGCAGCAGUGGGGAAUAUUGCACAAUGGGCGAAAGCCUGAUGCAGCGACGCCGCGUGAGGGAUGAAGGCCUUCGGGUUGUAAACCUCUUUCACCAGGGACGAAGCGCAAGUGACGGUACCUGCAG